RNAcentral lists this ribosomal RNA (1012 nucleotides) under Desulfuromonadaceae bacterium enrichment culture clone MS_LAC_N11. RNAcentral's name for it is "bacterial SSU rRNA". It matches the Rfam family "Bacterial small subunit ribosomal RNA", at positions 51 to 1061 of the family's 1533-position model. The record is from RNAcentral. Lineage: Bacteria; Pseudomonadati; Thermodesulfobacteriota; Desulfuromonadia; Desulfuromonadales; Desulfuromonadaceae.
ACACAUGCAAGUCGAACGCGAAAGUUUUCUUCGGAAAGCGAGUAGAGUGGCGCACGGGUGAGUAACACGUGGAUAACCUGCCCUAGAGUCUGGGAUAACACUUCGAAAGGGGUGCUAAUACCGGAUAAGCCCACGCCUUCUUCGGAAGAAGUGGGAAAAGAUUUAUUGCUCUAGGAUGGGUCCGCGGUCCAUUAGCUAGUUGGUGGGGUAAUGGCCUACCAAGGCUGCGAUGGAUAGCUGGUCUGAGAGGAUGAUCAGCCACACUGGAACUGAGACACGGUCCAGACUCCUACGGGAGGCAGCAGUGGGGAAUUUUGCGCAAUGGGGGAAACCCUGACGCAGCAACGCCGCGUGAAGGAUGAAGGCCUUUGGGUCGUAAACUUCUGUCAGAGGGGAAGAAAUGCCCGCAAGGGUGCUGACGGUACCCUCAAAGGAAGCACCGGCUAACUCCGUGCCAGCAGCCGCGGUAAUACGGAGGGUGCAAGCGUUGUUCGGAAUUAUUGGGCGUAAAGAGCAUGUAGGCGGACUGUUAAGUCUGGUGUGAAAGCCCGGGGCUCAACCCCGGAAGUGCAUCGGAUACUGGCAGUCUUGAGUAUGGGAGAGGAAAGUGGAAUUCCGAGUGUAGGAGUGAAAUCCGUAGAUAUUCGGAGGAACACCAGUGGCGAAGGCGGCUUUCUGGACCAAUACUGACGCUGAGAUGCGAAAGCGUGGGGAGCAAACAGGAUUAGAUACCCUGGUAGUCCACGCCGUAAACGAUGGGUACUAGGUGUUGCGGGUAACCACUCCUGCAGUGCCGCAGCUAACGCAUUAAGUACCCCGCCUGGGGAGUACGGCCGCAAGGCUAAAACUCAAAGGGAUUGACGGGGGCCCGCACAAGCGGUGGAGCAUGUGGUUUAAUUCGACGCAACGCGAAGAACCUUACCUGGGUUUGACAUCCUGAUCGUACCUUUUGGAAACAUAAGGGUCAGUUCGGCUGGAUCAGUGACAGGUGCUGCAUGGCUGUCGUCAGCUC